Molecule: ribosomal RNA, 228 nt
Filed under: uncultured bacterium
Lineage: Bacteria
Description: partial 16S ribosomal RNA
Rfam family: Bacterial small subunit ribosomal RNA
Source: RNAcentral
AAAAACUUAGUCUCAGUUCGGAUUGUAGGCUGAAAACUCGCCUACAUGAAGCUGGAGUUGCUAGUAAUCGCGAAUCAGCAUGUCGCGGUGAAUACGUUCCCGGGCCUUGUACACACCGCCCGUCACACCAUGAGAGUUGGCAAUACCCAACGUACGUGAUCUAACCCGCAAGGGAGGAAGCGUCCUAAGGUAGGGUCAGCGAUUGGGGUGAAGUCGUAACAAGGUACC